This 433-nucleotide ribosomal RNA is filed under the name uncultured bacterium. Its description in RNAcentral is "partial 16S ribosomal RNA". It matches the Rfam family "Bacterial small subunit ribosomal RNA", at positions 29 to 507 of the family's 1533-position model. The record is from RNAcentral.
AACGAACGCUGGCGGCAUGCCUAACACAUGCAAGUCGAACGAGACCUUCGGGUCUAUUGUCGCCCGGGUGCGUAACGCGUGGGAACCUGCACUUAGGUUCGGAAUAACUCCCCGAAAGGGGUGCUAAUGCCGGAUAAUGUCUUCGGCCCAAAGAUUUAUCGCCCUUGGUUGGGCCGGCGUUGGAUUAGCUAGUUGGUAGGGUAAAAGCCUACGAAGGCGACGAUCCAUAGCUGGUCUGAGAGGAUGAUCAGCCACACUGGGACUGAGACACGGCCCAGACUCCUACGGGAGGCAGCAGUGGGUAAUAUUGGACCAUGGGCGAAAGCCUGAUCCAGCAAUGCCGGGUGAGUGAUGAAGGCCUUAGGGUUGUAAAGCUCUUUUACCCGGGAUGAUAAUGACAGUACCGGGAGAAUAAGCUCCGGCUAACUCCGUG